GAUGAAGAACGUAGCGAAAUGCGAUACGUAAUGUGAAUUGCAGAAUUCAGUGAAUCAUCGAGUCUUUGAACGCACAUUGCGCCCCCUGGUAUUCCGGGGGGCAUGCCUGUCCGAGCGUCAUUGCUGCCCUCAAGCACGGCUUGUGUGUUGGGCCUCCGUCCUCCUCCCGGGGGACGGGCCCGAAAGGCAGCGGCGGCACCGCGUCCGGUCCUCGAGCGUAUGGGGUUUCGUCACCCGCUCUUGUAGGCCCGGCCGGCGCUUGCCGACACAUCAAUCUUUUUUCCAGGUUGACCUCGGAUCAGGUAGGGAUACCCGCUGAACUUAAGCAUAUCAAUAAGCGGAGGA
This 345-nucleotide unclassified non-coding RNA is filed under the name soil metagenome. RNAcentral describes it as "partial contains 5.8S ribosomal RNA, internal transcribed spacer 2, and large subunit ribosomal RNA". The stretch from base 1 to 120 matches the Rfam family "5.8S ribosomal RNA", at positions 35 to 154 of the family's 154-position model. The record is from RNAcentral.